GGCUUUUCUUGAAAGUUUUGAGCAGCAAUAUGGAAACAACCAUCCUUUCUUUUAUGCGUGCCGAUUCAGGAAAGCUGUGAAGUUGGCUGAGCAGGAUCAUAGGUUUAUGUUUAUGUACCUUCACUCACCGGACCACAAUUUUGCAAACGUGUUCUGCAAGGGAACACUCUGUUCUGAGCUUGUGAUGCAGUUCCUUGAUAUGAAUUUUGUUUGUUGGGGAGCACUUGCUGAUAGAGGAGAGGGUAUGCAAAUGGUUUCCAUGCUGCGCCCUUCUACGUUUCCAUGUUGUGCUGUCAUCGCUCCAGCUCCCGGUGAUAGCAUGACAGUGCUGCAGCAGGUUGAGCACACAUUCUAGCAUUUAUACCUUUUUGUUUCAUUUUGUUUUUGUUUAUGGAUGAUGCUUAAUGCCACAAAUGUGCUUGGUGUUUUCUCAGGAAUUAGCUGAAUUAGCUACUUUCAUGUAUAUAGUUUAGGUUGAUUUGUAAUCUAAAGCAAUGCAUAAUUAGUUCAAACGAUUCACACUUAUUUCACUUAAGUAAGAUCCUAAAUUUAGUACUCAAAUUUUCUCCCCUAUUGUAACUCGACCUGGCUAAAAUCGAAUUAGUUGAAUUUAAUAAACUCUAUAAACACUACUGGUCUAGACCAAAAACAUGUUAAUAAUUAAUUUAGGAUGCCAUGACCAAGUUUUUUGCUAGGUAAAGAAAUAGUAUCCUGAAAUUUGAAAGCAUUAUUAGAACUAUUAGUAUCUCAUACCAAUUUUUUUUCUUUAUCUUUUGCCACUGAACUAUGCAUUUUACAUGCCCUUUUUGGCCAGCUUGAGGGGCCUCUUUCAGCAGCUGAGCUAGUGGAGAUUCUACAAAGGACAAUGGAGGAACAAGGGCUGGCUUUCGGAAGCGGAAAGGCUAAGCACGAAUCAAAGAUCCUAGCUGACCGCAGGCUUCGAGAAGAGCAAGACGCCGCAUAUUUUGCAGCUUUGCAUAUAGACAAGGUUCAUAACUCAUUUCAACUUUUCAAUUUGAUAAAUAUUGUGUACUCAUUCUGCAUUGUACACCAAGUCACCCUUGAAUGCAAAUAGUUUUAUUUAUUUUUCCAAAGAAUGCUUAGUUAACAAAGAUUUUUUUCCUGUAUAGGAAAAAGAGAAGCAGCACAAGAAUUCUCCUUUAAGAGGGGGAAUUCAGAAGCCAGUGGAGGCUCAGAAUGGCAGAAAUUUUAGGAAGUUGAGUAACAAUUCUGUGAAUGUUAGAAAACAGGAUAGUAAGAAUGAAGUUUACGAGUCUAAUGGUCAAAAACAAGCCAAAGGAAUUGCAAGCAGGGUAAAUGGCUAUGGCUCUGAGGCUACACAGGUAAAUAAAUAUAUCAUUCCAACACAAUAUAAAGAAUCAUAGAGUUUAUAGUAAAUAUUGAAAUUAAUAAUACAACAACAAAGUCUGGUUCCACUAGGUGAAGUCGACCCCAUAAAUCAAACAAUGUCAUAAUGCUUUCACAUAAAUCAUAAAUGUCUUUUAAACAUUUUGGUAUUCAGAUAUCUUUUAAUAAUUUCUUCUAUAAUUUUCUUAUGUCCCAUAAUGUUUGUCAAAUUUUGUGCAACAGAUACUGAUAAGGUUUCCGAAUGGAGAAAGAAGAGAACACAGUUUUUUGUCUACUGACAAAAUCCAAUCCAUCUUCACGUGCAUUAAUUCAUUAGGAAUUCCAGGGAUUGAGAAUUAUAGAUUAAUUUCAAAUUUUCCAAGGAAAGCUUAUGGUGUGGACCAAAUGAGAAUGACUCUCAAAGAAGCUGGCUUGUUUCCUAAAGCUAGCCUGUUCUUGGAGCCUAUGUGAAUCAUUGUUGAUUGUCCACAGUCAUAUGAAGUUGUGAACAUACAGGUGUGAAUUUUGAAUUGGCAUUGGUAUACAUAUACAUUUAGAUUUCAAUGAAAUGAGAGGAGAGGAAAAGAAGUAUGUUUGAAUAAGUGACUUCACCUUAGCUCAAUAUUUCAUGGAUGAUCCAAUAGAUAAAAUUACGAUGUUAGUAGAGAAAUUCAUGGUUAUAUGCGAAUUAUAGAAAAGAAAAGGUAAUACAAUGCCACCUUAAGUUGUUGGAUCAUAACUAUUCAUAAGGAGAGAAUAAGAGGAAGAAAGACAACCAAAUUAUUAGAAUAUCAACCAAGCUAAUUUGUUACUUUUAAAUUUUAAGGUACACCUUUGUUUUUUAUGUUUUUGUUUAGGCACUUUUAAUUUAUUCAUUUUCCUUUCUCUUCCACCCCUUAUAUUUUAUCUUUAAGUUUGAUGGUUAUCAGUGGCUAAGAGAAGGGGGGUUGAAUCUUAGCCUCCUUUUCGCUUGAUAAGACUUGCUGACCUUUGAAACCAAUUUUGGAAAUUUCUUGUCUUUUUAUCUCGUCACUAGCCACGAGACUUUUUCUUUUGUCUCAUCCCUAGCCACGAGACUUUAAGAAUAAUUAAUUUAAAUAAUCUCUUAUUAUUUGUCUGAAAGACAAAGUCUCUUUCACAAUUUAAAAUUUCAUAUUAAUUUUUAACUAUCCAUGUAAUUGGUCUAUGUGACUCCCUUAAUAGACUAUGUGGUCUCUAUUACUCGAUUGAGGGGCCCCUCACACAUCAGUAAUUCAUCAUUUACGGAAUUGCUUAGGCCAAUUAUUUGGAUUGUUUGAGAACGAUAAAAUUUUAAAUUGUAGAAGAGUAUUUUGUCUUUAGAGCAAAUGGUCAAGAAUAGAAAAUAAUCCAAGAAAACAAUUGAUCUUUUGACAAUGUGGGAAUCACCUUUUUACAUUGGAAUAAAUUUGAUGCUAUAUUCAAUAUUCACGAACCAUAUUCUCCAUCUGCAUGAGUACACACAUUAACGGUUUCACAGACAAAUGGCACUUAUUUUGAAUGUAAGUACUUCGAAAAUGAACUGCAGCUUUGGCCUUAAGCAAAGAAUCUUCUUUGCGCACUAAGCUUCCUCAACAGUGUUUUAAGAAAGUAAAUAAAGAAAACGGCAUCUAAAACAGUCUUCGUCAAUCUUCUAGUGUCUCUUCUAUUAGAACAAAACAAGGAAUGUCUUCACAAAUUCACAUGAAAUUGAAUAGUUGAUACAAGAUUAGGUUUCCAGGACUAAUUUUAAAUAACAAAACAACAAAAUGUCAUCGCCGGCGACAAGGGAUCACAGGAUCGUUCGACGCGUGGCGAGCCUCCCUAGAAGCAUAAUGGGGGAAAUCUCAAGGGCAUUGGGGGAUGGCAUGGGACUUGUAGGAAUAGGAAGAAGAAGAAACCAUAAUCAUAAUCAUAAUCAUGAGGCAAAUGUUGGGCAAGGGCAAGUGCAGCCUCAUGGCCCUCCAUUGUUGCCACAAGAACACAUAGCAGUUCCAGAAGAGUGGGCUUUUCUUGAAAGUUUUGAGCAGCAAUAUGGAAACAACCAUCCUUUCUUUUAUGCGUGCCGAUUCAGGAAAGCUGUGAAGUUGGCUGAGCAGGAUCAUAGGUUUAUGUUUAUGUACCUUCACUCACCGGACCACAAUUUUGCAAACGUGUUCUGCAAGGGAACACUCUGUUCUGAGCUUGUGAUGCAGUUCCUUGAUAUGAAUUUUGUUUGUUGGGGAGCACUUGCUGAUAGAG
This 3585-nucleotide long non-coding RNA is filed under the name Arachis ipaensis. RNAcentral's name for it is "long non-coding RNA (AIPA_LNC000145)". Lineage: Eukaryota; Viridiplantae; Streptophyta; Magnoliopsida; Fabales; Fabaceae. The record is from RNAcentral.